RNAcentral lists this ribosomal RNA (253 nucleotides) under uncultured bacterium. Its description in RNAcentral is "partial 16S ribosomal RNA". It matches the Rfam family "Bacterial small subunit ribosomal RNA", at positions 524 to 776 of the family's 1533-position model. The record is from RNAcentral.
UACGUAGGGUGCGAGCGUUGUCCGGAAUUAUUGGGCGUAAAGCGCUCGUAGGCGGUCUGUCGCGUCUGCUGUGAAAUCCCGAGGCUCAACCUCGGGCUUGCAGUGGGUACGGGCAGGCUAGAGUGCGGUAGGGGAGAAUGGAACUCCUGGUGUAGCGGUGGAAUGCGCAGAUAUCAGGAAGAACACCGAUGGCGAAGGCAGUUCUCUGGGCCGUAACUGACGCUGAGGAGCGAAAGCGUGGGGAGCGAACAGG